AAGCAACCACCCAAAAGCACACAAAAUCCAGUAACAGAUCGUCUAGUAUCAGGGCAUGCAGCCCAGUCACUGUCAGAAUAGCCAGUAACAGAGAAAUCAGCAUGAGCAGAAUAAAAUAAACCCAAGGAAGGAGUACCCUUAAGGUAUCUCAGAACAUGCAGGGCAGCAGUCAUAUGGGAGUCUGGGGCAUUUGAGGAAUUGACUUAGAUGUUGGACUGCAAAGCAUAUGUCAGGCCUAGUAUGAGUCAGAAACAACAUCUUACCAACUUUGACUCACAUGUUGGACUGCAAAGCAUAUGUCAGGCCUAGUAUGAGUCAGAAACAACAUUUUACCAACUAGACUCCUGUACUGGUCAGGAGAGGAUAAAAGGUCACCAAAAUCAGCAUGAAGUUUGACAUUAAUGUCCAAAGGAGAAACAACAGAGGAGACAUUUGUACAAUCAAACUGAUGCAGUAAAUCAGAAAUAUACUUAUGCUGAUUAAGGAUCAUUCCACCAGGAACAACUGAAAUUUCAAGACCCAAAAAAAUAAUGCAAAGAUCCCAAGUCUUUGAUCUUAAACUGAUCAUCCAGAAACAGUUUCAGUGCAGUAAUUUCAUCACUGUCAUCCCCUGUAAGGAUAAUAUCAUCCACAUAGACUGCCACCACCACAAGAGAGCCAAGUUUACCUUUGAUGAACAAAGAAUAGUCAUUCAAAGAAUGUUUGUACCCUCUGGAAUAAAGAGCAGAAGACAACUUGGCAUACCAUUGUCUGGAUNNNN
This 760-nucleotide long non-coding RNA is filed under the name Nicotiana benthamiana. Its description in RNAcentral is "long non-coding RNA (NBEN_LNC014247)". Lineage: Eukaryota; Viridiplantae; Streptophyta; Magnoliopsida; Solanales; Solanaceae. The record is from RNAcentral.